GGAUGUGAGGGCAUUUUGGCUACAACAUGUCACCCCAUUGAUCACCAGGGUUGAUUUGGCUGAUCUGGCUGGAUUUGUGGGUGUUCCCUUCCUCUCUCACCACUCCAUGUGCAUCCCUCCCAAAGCUGCGUGGUAGGUCAAAGAGGGCAACCUACCCCAAGUAGAGACAGACUAGUCUUUGGUCAAGAGUAUACAAGUAGCUGUGCUCCCCUGCUAGAACCUCCAAACAAGCUUUCAAGGUCCAGAGUUCUGUGUCCCUAGCCUGCAAUGAUAACCAUCAUAGUUUUCAGAAAGUCUUA
Molecule: small nuclear RNA, 299 nt
Filed under: Erinaceus europaeus (western European hedgehog)
Lineage: Eukaryota; Metazoa; Chordata; Mammalia; Eulipotyphla; Erinaceidae
Description: 7SK RNA
Rfam family: 7SK RNA
About the family: 7SK was discovered as an abundant small nuclear RNA in the mid-70s but a possible function has only recently been suggested. Two independent studies have found that 7SK RNA binds the CDK9/cyclin T complex (known as elongation factor P-TEFb).
Source: Rfam by way of RNAcentral